Long non-coding RNA from Thamnophis elegans (Western terrestrial garter snake), 278 nucleotides. RefSeq lists it as uncharacterized. The transcript is spliced from 4 exons. The record is from RefSeq and is a predicted model, not a curated record. Lineage: Eukaryota; Metazoa; Chordata; Lepidosauria; Squamata; Natricidae.
AAAAGGCCACAAAGGGAAUCAGCCCCUGGCCACUCCUAGACCCAGAACAUCCGGAAAAGGUGUUCGCACCUUUUCUGUUGUCUGAAGAGCAACGUUGAAGACCUUCCUGUGCCUCCUGACAGGACGGCACAGGAACUGGAAGACCAGCGGGGAGAAUGGGAGACACAUCAUGUGUCUGAUGGCGGCACAUCUUCCUCUCCUGGGGUUGUGAUGGGUGGUCCUGCCACCACCCGGAGUCCCAGGAAGGAAGAUGUCAGGCCAGCUCUCAUUUCCCUGAG